CUAUACAUGCAGUAGAACGCUGAAGAGAGGAGCUUGCUCUUCUUGGAUGAGUUGCGAACGGGUGAGUAACGCGUAGGUAACCUGCCUUGUAGCGGGGGAUAACUAUUGGAAACGAUAGCUAAUACCGCAUAACAAUGGAUGACACAUGUCAUUUAUUUGAAAGGGGCAAUUGCUCCACUACAAGAUGGACCUGCGUUGUAUUAGCUAGUAGGUGAGGUAAUGGCUCACCUAGGCGACGAUACAUAGCCGACCUGAGAGGGUGAUCGGCCACACUGGGACUGAGACACGGCCCAGACUCCUACGGGAGGCAGCAGUAGGGAAUCUUCGGCAAUGGGGGCAACCCUGACCGAGCAACGCCGCGUGAGUGAAGAAGGUUUUCGGAUCGUAAAGCUCUGUUGUAAGUCAAGAACGGGUGUGAGAGUGGAAAGUUCACACUGUGACGGUAGCUUACCAGAAAGGGACGGCUAACUACGUGCCAGCAGCCGCGGUAAUACGUAGGUCCCGAGCGUUGUCCGGAUUUAUUGGGCGUAAAGCGAGCGCAGGCGGUUUGAUAAGUCUGAAGUUAAAGGCUGUGGCUCAACCAUAGUUCGCUUUGGAAACUGUCAAACUUGAGUGCAGAAGGGGAGAGUGGAAUUCCAUGUGUAGCGGUGAAAUGCGUAGAUAUAUGGAGGAACACCGGUGGCGAAAGCGGCUCUCUGGUCUGUAACUGACGCUGAGGCUCGAAAGCGUGGGGAGCGAACAGGAUUAGAUACCCUGGUAGUCCACGCCGUAAACGAUGAGUGCUAGGUGUUGGAUCCUUUCCGGGAUUCAGUGCCGCAGCUAACGCAUUAAGCACUCCGCCUGGGGAGUACGACCGCAAGGUUGAAACUCAAAGGAAUUGACGGGGGCCCGCACAAGCGGUGGAGCAUGUGGUUUAAUUCGAAGCAACGCGAAGAACCUUACCAGGUCUUGACAUCCCGAUGCUAUUUCUAGAGAUAGAAAGUUACUUCGGUACAUCGGUGACAGGUGGUGCAUGGUUGUCGUCAGCUCGUGUCGUGAGAUGUUGGGUUAAGUCCCGCAACGAGCGCAACCCCUAUUGUUAGUUGCCAUCAUUCAGUUGGGCACUCUAGCGAGACUGCCGGUAAUAAACCGGAGGAAGGUGGGGAUGACGUCAAAUCAUCAUGCCCCUUAUGACCUGGGCUACACACGUGCUACAAUGGUUGGUACAACGAGUUGCGAGUCGGUGACGGCGAGCUAAUCUCUUAAAGCCAAUCUCAGUUCGGAUUGUAGGCUGCAACUCGCCUACAUGAAGUCGGAAUCGCUAGUAAUCGCGGAUCAGCACGCCGCGGUGAAUACGUUCCCGGGCCUUGUACACACCGCCCGUCACACCACGAGAGUUUGUAACACCCGAAGUCGGUGAGGUAACCUUUUGGAGCCAGCCGCCU
This 1424-nucleotide ribosomal RNA is filed under the name Streptococcus thermophilus. Its description in RNAcentral is "bacterial SSU rRNA". It matches the Rfam family "Bacterial small subunit ribosomal RNA". The record is from RNAcentral. Lineage: Bacteria; Bacillati; Bacillota; Bacilli; Lactobacillales; Streptococcaceae.